This 649-nucleotide small RNA is filed under the name Pongo abelii (Sumatran orangutan). RNAcentral's name for it is "processed transcript". Lineage: Eukaryota; Metazoa; Chordata; Mammalia; Primates; Hominidae. The record is from RNAcentral.
GUCACUCCUUGCGCCCCUUCCCACAACCUGCCAGACUAGGCUAUUGGUGCUGCUUCUGCCCACUUUCAGGAGAACCCUGCUCUGCACCCCAGAAAACCUCUUUGUUUUAAAAGGGAGGUGGGGGUAGAAGUAAAAGGAUGAUCACGGGAGGGAGUUGAGGGGUUAAUAUAUAUACAUACAUAUACAUAUAUAUUUUUGUAAAUAAACAGGAACUGAUUUUCUGCCUCCAUCCCACCCAUGAGGGCUGUAGGCACUACAAAAGAGCUGACUACUGAGAAUUCUGGAAAACAAGAGCACGUGACCGUCCAGGGGGAAGCAGCCAUUGUCAUCUGCCUCAAUGGACAAGGGCUUCCCGCAGUCCUGGGAAGAAGGAAGGGUGAGGGGCACUGGACCGGAAGGCCCCUGCUCUGCUCCACCCUACCCCACCCCAUGCAGCCCCAUCUUGGAAUUAGAAAGAUGCUUCACGGCUCAGAGCUGGUGUCAUCGCAUUUUCCAGCCACAUCCAACUCCCCGUCCCUAUCCUACUUCCAGUCACCCACUAGGACCUUCCUGCAAGAGGGCAAGCAGUGGGGAGAGCUGCUUCCAAGGUGCUUGCUGCCCUGCCCACCAUCACUGUAAUAAAAUAGAGGUUGGCUCACCUCCAUUCGAA